AUUGGGUAUGGUGAUAUGGUCCCAAAGACCAGUGUCGGCAUGAUAAUAGGCUGCCUGUGCGCUUUGACUGGCGUGCUUACGCUUGCUUUGCCCAUGCCCGUUAUCGUUAGCAAC
This is a non-coding RNA of Trichuris muris, 114 nucleotides long. The record is from Rfam. NCBI's taxonomy places the organism in Eukaryota, Metazoa, Nematoda, Enoplea, Trichinellida, Trichuridae.